CCUACGGGCGGCAGCAGUGGGGAAUAUUGGGCAAUGGAGGCAACUCUGACCCAGCCAUGCCGCGUGAAUGAAGAAGGUCUUCGGAUUGUAACGUUCUUUAAUCAGGGACGAAAAGAAUGACGGUACCUGAGGUAUAAGCCACGGCAAACUAUGUGCAAGCAGCCGCGGUAAUACAUCGGUGGCAAGCGUUGUCCGGAAUGACUGGGCGUAAAGGGAGCGUAGGCGGGCUGUUAAGUUGGAAGUGAAAUCCCGCGGCUCAACCCCGGAACUGCAUUCAAGACUGACGGACUUGAGUGUAAGAGAGGUAAGCGGAAUUCCUAGUGUAGCGGUGGAAUGCUUAGAUAUCAGGAGGAACACCAGUUGCGAAGGCGGCUUACUAGAUUAUAACUGACGCUGAGGCUCGAAAGCGUGGGUAGCAAACAGGAUUAGAUACCCCGGUAGUC
RNAcentral lists this ribosomal RNA (443 nucleotides) under uncultured bacterium. RNAcentral describes it as "partial 16S ribosomal RNA". It matches the Rfam family "Bacterial small subunit ribosomal RNA", at positions 338 to 795 of the family's 1533-position model. The record is from RNAcentral.